Molecule: long non-coding RNA, 541 nt
Organism: Cyanistes caeruleus (blue tit)
Lineage: Eukaryota; Metazoa; Chordata; Aves; Passeriformes; Paridae
Source: RefSeq, a predicted model, not a curated record
UCCUGACUUUGUGUCACUGUCCAUCUGCUCUGCUGUAUCAGAUUGCUGAACAGCUGGAAAAGAAAACUUCAUGUCUAUACUCAGGAGAUGCAUGUUGAGAUCAUAGAGGGGCCUGAGAACAUCUGUGCCCUCGCUGAUACAAUAAAUGCUCCAGAACCUGACAUUUUGCAUGCUGAAAUCCAGCUGUGCCACCCACAAUCCUCUGUUUGGCACCCAGGCUGCCCACAGAGUGAGUCACACGAGAGGGAAGUGUCUCCAAAUUAGAUGCUAAUUGCAACAAAUGACUGAGCAAGAAGUGACCUAUUUCAAUUUAAUAAGAAUCAAAGUUUUAAUCCUCUUCCUCCUUCCGUGCUGGGGUAUACACAAGGGUUAAAGAUUUCCCUAGGCAUGGCAGAGUGCUAUUAGAGGCAGUUAGGGCAUUUGUAUUUAAGCUGCUGUAUUUCUCCCUGAGCUGUCAGUAGGGAGCCUUUAAUCUCAGUCUCAGCCUGUCCACAAACCAGCACUAGCUGUAGUAUGUUAAUAAAAACUCUUUACUUUCUCA